CGAAAGCCUGACGGAGCAAGACCGCGUGAGGGAGGAAGGCUCUUGGGUUGUAAACCUCUUUUCUCAGGGAAGAAGCUCUGACGGUACCUGAGGAAUCAGCAUCGGCUAACUCCGUGCCAGCAGCCGCGGUAAUACGGAGGAUGCAAGCGUUAUCCGGAAUCAUUGGGCGUAAAGCGUCCGCAGGUGGCUCUUCAAGUCUGCCGUCAAAACUCAGGGCUUAACCCUGAACAGGCGGUGGAAACUGAAAAGCUAGAGUGCGGUAGGGGUAGAGGGAAUUCCCGGUGUAGCGGUGAAAUGCGUAGAGAUCGGGAAGAACACCAGUGGCGAAAGCGCUCUGCUGGACCUGCACUGACACUGAGGGACGAAAGCUAGGGGAGCG
Molecule: ribosomal RNA, 379 nt
Filed under: uncultured Cephalothrix sp.
Lineage: Bacteria; Bacillati; Cyanobacteriota; Cyanophyceae; Aerosakkonematales; Aerosakkonemataceae
Description: bacterial SSU rRNA
Rfam family: Bacterial small subunit ribosomal RNA
Source: RNAcentral